GACGGACGCUGGCGGCGUGCUUAACACAUGCAAGUCGAACGAUGAACCCGGAGCUUGCGCCGGUGGAUUAGUGGCGAACGGGUGAGUAACACGUGAGUAACCUGCCCUUGACUCUGGGAUAACUGCGGGAAACUGUAGCUAAUACCGGAUACGACCCUCGGCUGCAUCGCCCGGGGGUGGAAAGAGAUUCGGUCAAGGAUGGACUCGCGGCCUAUCAGCUAGUUGGUGAGGUAACGGCUCAGCAAGGCGACGGCGGGUACUCGGCCUGGCAGAGUGAGCGGCCACAUUGGGACUGAGACACGGCCCAGACUCCUACGGGAGGCAGGAGUGGGGAAUAUUGCACAAUGGGCGCAAGCCUGAUGCAGCAACGCCGCGUGAGGGAUGACUGCCUUCGGGUUGUAAACCUCUUUUAGUAGGGAAGAAGCGAAAGUGACGGUACCUGCAGAAAAAGCACCGGCUAACUACGUGCCAGCCGCCGCCGUAA
RNAcentral lists this ribosomal RNA (484 nucleotides) under uncultured bacterium. Its description in RNAcentral is "partial 16S ribosomal RNA". It matches the Rfam family "Bacterial small subunit ribosomal RNA", at positions 28 to 523 of the family's 1533-position model. The record is from RNAcentral.